GAUGAACGCUGGCGGCGUGCUUAACACAUGCAAGUCGAACGGAAAGGCUCCUGCUUGCAGGGGUACUCGAGUGGCGAACGGGUGAGUAACGCGUGGGUGAUCUGCCCUGCACUUCGGGAUAAGAGUGGGAAACUGGGGCUAAUACCGGAUAGGACGAUGGCUUGGAUGCCAUUGUGGAAAGUUUUUCGGUGUGGGAUGAGCUCGCGGCCUAUCAGCUUGUUGGAGGGGUAAUGGCAUAGCACGGCGUCGACGGGUAGCCGGCCCGGGAGGGGGUACGGCAACAUUGCGUCUGAGAUACGACCCAGACCCCAAUGGUAGGCAGGAGUGGGGAAUAUAACACAACGGGAUCAAGCCUGAUGCGGCGACGCCGCGUGGGGGAUGACGGCCUGCUGGUUGUAAACUCCAUUCGCGAUGUACGAAGCGCAAGUGACGGUACCUAGAGAAGAAGCACCGGCUAACUACGUG
Molecule: ribosomal RNA, 465 nt
Filed under: uncultured bacterium
Lineage: Bacteria
Description: partial 16S ribosomal RNA
Rfam family: Bacterial small subunit ribosomal RNA
Source: RNAcentral